This 867-nucleotide ribosomal RNA is filed under the name Enterococcus faecium. RNAcentral's name for it is "bacterial SSU rRNA". It matches the Rfam family "Bacterial small subunit ribosomal RNA", at positions 56 to 894 of the family's 1533-position model. Lineage: Bacteria; Bacillati; Bacillota; Bacilli; Lactobacillales; Enterococcaceae. The record is from RNAcentral.
UGCAGUCGAACGCUUCUUUUUCCACCGGAGCUUGCUCCACCGGAAAAAGAGGAGUGGCGAACGGGUGAGUAACACGUGGGUAACCUGCCCAUCAGAAGGGGAUAACACUUGGAAACAGGUGCUAAUACCGUAUAACAAUCGAAACCGCAUGGUUUUGAUUUGAAAGGCGCUUUCGGGUGUCGCUGAUGGAUGGACCCGCGGUGCAUUAGCUAGUUGGUGAGGUAACGGCUCACCAAGGCCACGAUGCAUAGCCGACCUGAGAGGGUGAUCGGCCACAUUGGGACUGAGACACGGCCCAAACUCCUACGGGAGGCAGCAGUAGGGAAUCUUCGGCAAUGGACGAAAGUCUGACCGAGCAACGCCGCGUGAGUGAAGAAGGUUUUCGGAUCGUAAAACUCUGUUGUUAGAGAAGAACAAGGAUGAGAGUAACUGUUCAUCCCUUGACGGUAUCUAACCAGAAAGCCACGGCUAACUACGUGCCAGCAGCCGCGGUAAUACGUAGGUGGCAAGCGUUGUCCGGAUUUAUUGGGCGUAAAGCGAGCGCAGGCGGUUUCUUAAGUCUGAUGUGAAAGCCCCCGGCUCAACCGGGGAGGGUCAUUGGAAACUGGGAGACUUGAGUGCAGAAGAGGAGAGUGGAAUUCCAUGUGUAGCGGUGAAAUGCGUAGAUAUAUGGAGGAACACCAGUGGCGAAGGCGGCUCUCUGGUCUGUAACUGACGCUGAGGCUCGAAAGCGUGGGGAGCAAACAGGAUUAGAUACCCUGGUAGUCCACGCCGUAAACGAUGAGUGCUAAGUGUUGGAGGGUUUCCGCCCUUCAGUGCUGCAGCUAACGCAUUAAGCACUCCGCCUGGGGAGUACGACCGCAAGGU